This is a long non-coding RNA of Conger conger (European conger), 529 nucleotides long. RefSeq lists it as uncharacterized. The transcript is spliced from 3 exons. The record is from RefSeq and is a predicted model, not a curated record. NCBI's taxonomy places the organism in Eukaryota, Metazoa, Chordata, Actinopteri, Anguilliformes, Congridae.
UAUGGAAAAUUAUAGAAACCUGCGUGACAACUGUACGUUAACUGACAUAUAAAACGUAUCGCCUGCUAAUGCAGGUUGUUCGUCGGUGGGGUUAGCUCCUUGCUAUGUGUAAAUUAAUAAGAAAAAGGUACCUUUGAAACUUGCAGUACUUCGAACUCCUCGGAUGCUGUGACCGCAGACGGCAAGAAGAUAUUUUGGGUCACCGCGUGUCGAAAAUGCUGCGACGAAAACGAAGAUUCACUUUCAUGCACACAUGUCCGGAAUGUAAACAGAUCGGGAGUCUCCACGAGACCACGCGGCGCGGCUCUGAGGGGCAGAGGGACUGUGAAAUGGACUGAACGAAAACAUCAAAAUCAAGGGGAGCAUAAGAAAGACAGGCAUGUAUUAGAUAGCAGCAGAGGGAACUCCCACCUUAGGGGGAGGACAUGUAAAGGUGGAAUUAGGGGGGAAAGUGAAGAGCCACUCUCAGAACAGGCAGGUUUCAGGAAGUGUGUGCAAUAUUUUUUUUAAAUAAACGCCAUGCAUAUCA